RNAcentral lists this transfer RNA (83 nucleotides) under Rickettsiales bacterium (ex Bugula neritina AB1). RNAcentral describes it as "tRNA-Leu". It matches the Rfam family "tRNA". From Rfam's summary of the family: Transfer RNA (tRNA) molecules are approximately 80 nucleotides in length. Their secondary structure includes four short double-helical elements and three loops (D, anti-codon, and T loops). Further hydrogen bonds mediate the characteristic L-shaped molecular structure. tRNAs have two regions of fundamental functional importance: the anti-codon, which is responsible for specific mRNA codon recognition, and the 3' end, to which the tRNAs corresponding amino acid is attached (by aminoacyl-tRNA synthetases). tRNAs cope with the degeneracy of the genetic code in two manners: having more than one tRNA (with a specific anti-codon) for a particular amino acid; and 'wobble' base-pairing, i.e. permitting non-standard base-pairing at the 3rd anti-codon position. Lineage: Bacteria; Pseudomonadati; Pseudomonadota; Alphaproteobacteria; Rickettsiales. The record is from RNAcentral.
GCGAAUAUGGCGGAAUGGUAGACGCGCAGGAUUUAGGGUUCUGUGACUUUAAAAUCGUGGAGGUUCAAGUCCUCUUAUUCGCA